UACGAAGGGGGCUAGCGUUGCUCGGAAUCACUGGGCGUAAAGCGCACGUAGGCGGCCUGAUAAGUCGGGUGUGAAAGCCCUGGGCUCAACCCAGGAAGUGCACUCGAAACUGUCAGGCUUGAAUAUGGAAGAGGGUCGCGGAAUUCCCGGUGUAGAGGUGAAAUUCGUAGAUAUCGGGAGGAACACCAGUGGCGAAGGCGGCGACCUGGGCCAAUAUUGACGCUGAGGUGCGAAAGCGUGGGGAGCGAACAGG
RNAcentral lists this ribosomal RNA (253 nucleotides) under uncultured bacterium. RNAcentral describes it as "partial 16S ribosomal RNA". It matches the Rfam family "Bacterial small subunit ribosomal RNA", at positions 524 to 776 of the family's 1533-position model. The record is from RNAcentral.